CACACUUAGCUGUAUGGAGUUGGAACGUUUGCCUACGCUUGCCGCUAGGGGCGCUGUUCCAACUGCAUACAAAUUUGAGUUA
Molecule: microRNA precursor, 82 nt
Filed under: Bombyx mori (domestic silkworm)
Lineage: Eukaryota; Metazoa; Arthropoda; Insecta; Lepidoptera; Bombycidae
Description: mir-2807 microRNA precursor family
Rfam family: mir-2807 microRNA precursor family
Source: Rfam by way of RNAcentral